RNAcentral lists this ribosomal RNA (465 nucleotides) under Vreelandella stevensii. RNAcentral describes it as "partial 16S ribosomal RNA". It matches the Rfam family "Bacterial small subunit ribosomal RNA", at positions 338 to 795 of the family's 1533-position model. Lineage: Bacteria; Pseudomonadati; Pseudomonadota; Gammaproteobacteria; Oceanospirillales; Halomonadaceae. The record is from RNAcentral.
CCUACGGGGGGCUGCAGUGGGGAAUAUUGGACAAUGGGGGGAACCCUGAUCCAGCCAUGCCGCGUGUGUGAAGAAGGCCCUCGGGUUGUAAAGCACUUUCAGUGAGGAAGAACGCCUGGUGGUUAAUACCCAUCAGGAAAGACAUCACUCACAGAAGAAGCACCGGCUAACUCCGUGCCAGCAGCCGCGGUAAUACGGAGGGUGCGAGCGUUAAUCGGAAUUACUGGGCGUAAAGCGCGCGUAGGUGGCUUGAUAAGCCGGUUGUGAAAGCCCCGGGCUCAACCUGGGAACGGCAUCCGGAACUGUCAAGCUAGAGUGCAGCAGAGGAAGGUAGAAUUCCCGGUGUAGCGGUGAAAUGCGUAGAGAUCGGGAGGAAUACCAGUGGCGAAGGCGGCCUUCUGGACUGACACUGACACUGAGGUGCGAAAGCGUGGGUAGCAAACAGGAUUAGAUACCCUUGUAGUC